This 253-nucleotide ribosomal RNA is filed under the name uncultured bacterium. RNAcentral's name for it is "partial 16S ribosomal RNA". It matches the Rfam family "Bacterial small subunit ribosomal RNA", at positions 524 to 776 of the family's 1533-position model. The record is from RNAcentral.
UACGUAGGGGGCGAGCGUUGUCCGGAUUUAUUGGGCGUAAAGAGCGUGUAGGCGGCCAUGUAGGUCCGUUGUGAAAACUCGAGGCUCAACCUCGAGACGCCGAUGGAAACCAUAUGGCUAGAGUCCGGAAGAGGAGAGUGGAAUUCCUGGUGUAGCGGUGAAAUGCGCAGAUAUCAGGAAGAACACCCGUGGCUAAGGCGGCUCUCUAGUACGGUACUGACGCUGAGACGCGAAAGCGUGGGGAGCGAACAGG